GAUGCAGGUUACCCGCGACAGGACGGAAAGACCCCGUGGAGCUUUACUGUAGUCUGAUAUUGAAAUUCGGUACAGCUUGUACAGGAUAGGUAGGAGCCUUAGAUACGUGAGCGCUAGCUUACGUGGAGGCGUUGGUGGGAUACUACCCUCGCUGUAUUGGAUUUCUAACCCGCACCAUUAAUCAUGGUGGGAGACAGUGUCAGAUGGACAGUUUGACUGGGGCGGUCGCCUCCUAAAGAGUAACGGAGGCGCUCAAAGGUUUCCUCAGAAUGGUUGGAAAUCAUUCAUAGAGUGUAAAGGCACAAGGAAGCUUGACUGCGAGACUUACAAGUCGAGCAGGGUCGAAAGACGGACUUAGUGAUCCGGUGGUUCCGCAUGGAAGGGCCAUCGCUCAACGGAUAAAAGCUACCCCGGGGAUAACAGGCUUAUCUCCCCCAAGAGUUCACAUCGACGGGGAGGUUUGGCACCUCGAUGUCGGCUCAUCGCAUCCUGGGGCUGUAGUCGGUCCCAAGGGUUGGGCUGUUCGCCCAUUAAAGCGGUACGCGAGCUGGGUUCAGAACGUCGUGAGACAGUUCGGUCCCUAUCCGUCGUGGGCGUAGGAAAUUUGAGAGGAGCUGUCCUUAGUACGAGAGGACCGGGAUGGACAUACCUCUGGUGUACCAGUUGUCGUGCCAACGGCAUCGCUGGGUAGCUAUGUAUGGACGGGAUAAGUGCUGAAAGCAUCUAAGCAUGAAGCCCCCCUCAAGAUGAGAUUUCCCAACUUCGGUUAUAAGAUCCCUCAAAGAUGAUGAGGUUAAUAGGUUCGAGGUGGAAGCAUAGCGAUAUGUGGAGCUGACGAAUACUAAUCGAUCGAAGACUUAAUCAAAUU
This 868-nucleotide ribosomal RNA is filed under the name Staphylococcus cohnii subsp. cohnii. RNAcentral's name for it is "bacterial LSU rRNA". It matches the Rfam family "Bacterial large subunit ribosomal RNA", at positions 2058 to 2925 of the family's 2925-position model. Lineage: Bacteria; Bacillati; Bacillota; Bacilli; Caryophanales; Staphylococcaceae. The record is from RNAcentral.